GCCGGGCGUGGUGGCGCGCACCUGUAGUCCCAGCUACUCGGAGGCUGAGGCGGGAGAAUGGCGUGAACCCGGGAGGUGGAGCUUGCAGUGAGCCGAGAUCGCGCCACUGCACUCCAGUUUUAAGACUGCACUCAAAUUUUGAGACGGAGUCUCGCUCUGUCGCCCAGGCUGGAGUGCAGUGGCGCGAUCUCGGCUCACUGCAACCUCCGCCUCCUGGGUUCAAGCAAUUCUCCUGCCUCAG
Unclassified non-coding RNA from Macaca fascicularis (crab-eating macaque), 241 nucleotides. It matches the Rfam family "Metazoan signal recognition particle RNA". From Rfam's summary of the family: The signal recognition particle (SRP) is a universally conserved ribonucleoprotein. It is involved in the co-translational targeting of proteins to membranes. The eukaryotic SRP consists of a 300-nucleotide 7S RNA and six proteins: SRPs 72, 68, 54, 19, 14, and 9. The record is from Ensembl. Lineage: Eukaryota; Metazoa; Chordata; Mammalia; Primates; Cercopithecidae.